GACGAACGCUGGCGGCGUGCUUAACACAUGCAAGUCGAACGGAAAGGCCCUGCUUUUGUGGGGUGCUCGAGUGGCGAACGGGUGAGUAACACGUGAGUAACCUGCCCUUGACUUUGGGAUAACUUCAGGAAACUGGGGCUAAUACCGGAUAGGAGCUCCUGCUGCAUGGUGGGGGUUGGAAAGUUUCGGCGGUUGGGGAUGGACUCGCGGCUUAUCAGCUUGUUGGUGGGGUAGUGGCUUACCAAGGCUUUGACGGGUAGCCGGCCUGAGAGGGUGACCGGCCACAUUGGGAAUGAGAUACGGCCCAGACUGCUACGGGAGGAAGCAGUGGGGAAUAUUGCAAAAUGGGCGGAAGCCCGAUGCAGCAACGCCGCGUGCGGGAUGACGGCCUUCGGGUUGUAAACCGCUUUCGCCUGUGACGAAGCGUGAGUGACGGUAAUGGGUAAAGAAGCACCGGCUAACUACGUG
RNAcentral lists this ribosomal RNA (468 nucleotides) under uncultured bacterium. RNAcentral describes it as "partial 16S ribosomal RNA". It matches the Rfam family "Bacterial small subunit ribosomal RNA", at positions 28 to 507 of the family's 1533-position model. The record is from RNAcentral.